UGCAUUAUCAAUAAGCGGAGGAAAAGAAACCAACAGGGAUUGCCUCAGUAGCGGCGAGUGAAGCGGCAAGAGCUCAGAUUUGAAAUCGCCUCGGCGAGUUGUAAAUUGCAGGUUGGAGUCUUUGUGGCGGCGUGUGUCUAAGUCCCUUGGAACAGGGCGCCAUUGAGGGUGAGAGCCCCGUGCGGCACGCGUCUAAGCUUUAAGACCCUUCUGACGAGUCGAGUUGUUUGGGAAUGCAGCUCUAAGUGGGUGGUAAAUUCCAUCUAAGGCUAAAUACUGGCGAGAGACCGAUAGCGAACAAGUACUGUGAAGGAAAGAUGAAAAGCACUUUGAAAAGAGAGUGAAACAGCACGUGAAAUUGUUGAAAGGGAAGGGUAUUGGGCUCGACAUGGGGACUGCGCACCGUUGCUUCUUGUAGGCGGCGCUCUGUGCGGUUUCUGGGCCAGCAUCAGUUUUUGCCGCGGGAGAAUGGGGGGAGGAACGUGGCUCUUCGGAGUGUUAUAGCCUCUCUCAGAUGCCGCGAGCGGGGACUGAGGUCUGCGAUUCGUACAAGGAUGCUGGCACAACGGCGCAAUACCGCCCGUCUUGACCACCGGACCA
This 600-nucleotide ribosomal RNA is filed under the name Pichia terricola. RNAcentral's name for it is "eukaryotic LSU rRNA". It matches the Rfam family "Eukaryotic large subunit ribosomal RNA", at positions 37 to 668 of the family's 3401-position model. Lineage: Eukaryota; Fungi; Ascomycota; Pichiomycetes; Pichiales; Pichiaceae. The record is from RNAcentral.